GGUUUCCGUAGGUGAACCUGCGGAAGGAUCAUUAUUGAAAUAAAUCUGAUAAGUUGCUGCUGGUUCUCUAGGGAGCAAUGUGCACACUUGUCAUCUUUGUAUCUUCACCUGUGCACCUUUUGUAGACCUGAGUAUCUCUCUGAAUUGCUUAUAUUAUAGCAUUCAGGAUUGAGAAUUGACUUCUUGUCUCUUCUUAUAUUUUCAGGUCUAUGUUUCUUCAUAUACCCCAAUGUAUGUUUAUAGAAUGUAAUUAAUGGGCCUUUGUGCCUAUAAACCUUUACAACUUUCAGCAACGGAUCUCUUGGCUCUCGCAUCGAUGAAGAACGCAGCGAAAUGCGAUAAGUAAUGUGAAUUGCAGAAUUCAGUGAAUCAUCGAAUCUUUGAACGCACCUUGCGCUCCUUGGUAUUCCGAGGAGCAUGCCUGUUUGAGUGUCAUUAAUAUUAUCAACCUUUUUGGUUGGAUGUGGGUUUGCUGGCCUCUUGAGGUCAGCUCCCCUUAAAUGCAUUAGCGGACAACAUUUUGCCAACUGUUCAUUGGUGUGAUAAUUAUCUACGCUAUUGACAGGGAAGCAAGGUUCAGCUUCUAACAGUCCAUUGACUUGGACAAGCCUCUUUUAUUAAUGUGACCUCAAAUCAGGUAGGACUACCCGCUGAACUUAAGCAUAUCAAUAAGCGGAGGAAAAGAAACUAACAAGGAUUCCCCUAGUAACUGCGAGUGAAGCGGGAAAAGCUCAAAUUUAAAAUCUGGCAGUCUUUGGCUGUCCGAGUUGUAAUCUAGAGAAGCAUUAUCCGCGCUGGACCGUGUACAAGUCUCCUGGAAUGGAGCGUCAUAGAGGGUGAGAAUCCCGUCUUUGACACGGACUGCCAGGGCUUUGUGAUGUGCUCUCAAAGAGUCGAGUUGUUUGGGAAUGCAGCUCAAAAUGGGUGGUAAAUUCCAUCUAAAGCUAAAUAUUGGCGAGAGACCGAUAGCGAACAAGUACCGUGAGGGAAAGAUGAAAAGAACUUUGGAAAGAGAGUUAAACAGUACGUGAAAUUGCUGAAAGGGAAACGCUUGAAGUCAGUCGCGUUGUCCAGGGAUCAAUCUUGCUUUUGCUUGGUGUACUUUCUGGUUAACGGGUCAGCAUCAAUUUUGACUAUUGGAAAAAGAUCAAGGGAAUGUGGCAUCUUYGGAUGUGUUAUAGCCUUUGGUUGCAUACAAUAGUUAGGAUUGAGGAACUCAGCACGCCGCAAGGCCGAGUUUUUUUACUACGUACGUGCUUAGGAUGCUGGCAUAA
Molecule: ribosomal RNA, 1274 nt
Filed under: Calonarius corrosus
Lineage: Eukaryota; Fungi; Basidiomycota; Agaricomycetes; Agaricales; Cortinariaceae
Description: eukaryotic LSU rRNA
Rfam family: Eukaryotic large subunit ribosomal RNA (bases 624-1274)
Source: RNAcentral